UGGGGAAUAUUGGACAAUGGGCGCAAGCCUGAUCCAGCAAUGCCGCGUGGAUGAAGAAGGUCUUCGGAUUGUAAAGUCCUUUCGACGGGGACGAUGAUGACGGUACCCGUAGAAGAAGCCCCGGCUAACUUCGUGCCAGCAGCCGCGGUAAUACGAAGGGGGCUAGCGUUACUCGGAAUUACUGGGCGUAAAGGGCGCGUAGGCGGCUUUUCAAGUUGGACGUGAAAUUCCUGGGCUCAACCUGGGGACUGCGUUCAAGACUGUGGAGCUAGAGGAUGGAAGAGGGUCGUGGAAUUCCCAGUGUAGAGGUGAAAUUCGUAGAUAUUGGGAAGAACACCGGUGGCGAAGGCGGCGACCUGGUCCAUUACUGACGCUGAGGCGCGACAGCGUGGGGAGCAAACAGG
This 404-nucleotide ribosomal RNA is filed under the name uncultured Acetobacteraceae bacterium. RNAcentral's name for it is "bacterial SSU rRNA". It matches the Rfam family "Bacterial small subunit ribosomal RNA", at positions 355 to 776 of the family's 1533-position model. Lineage: Bacteria; Pseudomonadati; Pseudomonadota; Alphaproteobacteria; Acetobacterales; Acetobacteraceae. The record is from RNAcentral.